UACGGAGGGAGCUAGCGUUAUUCGGAAUUACUGGGCGUAAAGCGCACGUAGGCGGCUUUGUAAGUUAGAGGUGAAAGCCCGGAGCUCAACUCCGGAACUGCCUUUAAGACUGCAUCGCUUGAAUCCAGGAGAGGUGAGUGGAAUUCCGGAGUGUAGAGGUGAAAUUCGUAGAUAUUCGGAAGAACACCAGUGGCGAGGGCGGCUCACUGGACUGGUAUUGACGCUGAGGUGCGAAAGCGUGGGGAGCAAACAGGG
RNAcentral lists this ribosomal RNA (255 nucleotides) under uncultured bacterium. RNAcentral describes it as "partial 16S ribosomal RNA". It matches the Rfam family "Bacterial small subunit ribosomal RNA", at positions 524 to 777 of the family's 1533-position model. The record is from RNAcentral.